AGAGUUUGAUCCUGGCUCAGAAUGGACGCUGGCGGCGUGCCUAACACAUGCAAGUCGUACGAGAAAUCCCGAGCUUGCUUGGGAGAGUAAAGUGGCGCACGGGUGAGUAACGCGUGGGUAACCCACCUUCGAAUCUGGGAUAACUCCGCGAAAGCGGUGCUAAUACCGGAUAAGACCACAGCCGUUUCGGCGGCAGAGGUAAAAGCUGACCUCUCCAUGGAAGUUAGCGUUCGAGGACGGGCCCGCGUCCUAUCAGCUUGUUGGUGGGGUAAAAGCCUACCAAGGCAGCGACGGGUAGCUGGUCUGAGAGGAUGAUCAGCCACACUGGAACUGGAACACGGUCCAGACUCCUACGGGAGGCAGCAGUGAGGAAUUUUGCGCAAUGGGGGAAACCCUGACGCAGCAACGCCGCGUGGGUGAAGAAGGCUUUCGGGUCGUAAAGCCCUGUCAGGUGGGAAGAACCGUUUCGAUACUAAUAAUGUCGAAGCCUGACGGUACCACCAGAGGAAGCACCGGCCAACUCCGUGCCAGCAGCCGCGGUAAUACGGAGGGUGCAAGCGUUGUUCGGAAUUAUUGGGCGUAAAGAGCGUGUAGGCGGUUCGGUAAGUCAGAUGUGAAAGCCCUGGGCUCAACCCAGGAAGUGCAUUUGAAACUACCAGACUUGAGUACGGGAGAGGAGGGGGGAAUUCCCGGUGUAGAGGUGAAAUUCGUAGAUAUCGGGAGGAAUACCAGUGGCGAAGGCGCCCCUCUGGACCGAUACUGACGCUGAGACGCGAAAGCGUGGGGAGCAAACAGGAUUAGAUACCCUGGUAGUCCACGCCGUAAACGAUGAGCACUAGGUGUAGCGGGUAUUGACCCCUGCUGUGCCGUAGCUA
Molecule: ribosomal RNA, 875 nt
Filed under: uncultured bacterium
Lineage: Bacteria
Description: bacterial SSU rRNA
Rfam family: Bacterial small subunit ribosomal RNA
Source: RNAcentral